UGGGGAAUAUUGCACAAUGGGGGAAACCCUGAUGCAGCGACGCCGCGUGAGCGAAGAAGGCUUUCGAGUCGUAAAGCUCUGUCCUAUGAGAAGAUAAUGACGGUAUCAUAGGAGGAAGCCCUGGCUAAAUACGUGCCAGCAGCCGCGGUAAUACGUAGGUCCCGAGCGUUGUCCGGAUUUAUUGGGCGUAAAGCGAGCGCAGGCGGUUAGAAAAGUCUGAAGUGAAAGGCAGUGGCUCAACCAUUGUAGGCUUUGGAAACUGUUUAACUUGAGUGCAGAAGGGGAGAGUGGAAUUCCAUGUGUAGCGGUGAAAUGCGUAGAUAUAUGGAGGAACACCGGUGGCGAAAGCGGCUCUCUGGUCUGUAACUGACGCUGAGGAUCGAAAGCGUGGGGAGCGAACAGG
Molecule: ribosomal RNA, 403 nt
Filed under: Verrucomicrobiota bacterium
Lineage: Bacteria; Pseudomonadati; Verrucomicrobiota
Description: Verrucomicrobia bacterium partial 16S ribosomal RNA
Rfam family: Bacterial small subunit ribosomal RNA
Source: RNAcentral